RNAcentral lists this transfer RNA (111 nucleotides) under Ostreococcus lucimarinus virus OlV3. RNAcentral's name for it is "tRNA-Ile". It matches the Rfam family "tRNA". Rfam says of the family: Transfer RNA (tRNA) molecules are approximately 80 nucleotides in length. Their secondary structure includes four short double-helical elements and three loops (D, anti-codon, and T loops). Further hydrogen bonds mediate the characteristic L-shaped molecular structure. tRNAs have two regions of fundamental functional importance: the anti-codon, which is responsible for specific mRNA codon recognition, and the 3' end, to which the tRNAs corresponding amino acid is attached (by aminoacyl-tRNA synthetases). tRNAs cope with the degeneracy of the genetic code in two manners: having more than one tRNA (with a specific anti-codon) for a particular amino acid; and 'wobble' base-pairing, i.e. permitting non-standard base-pairing at the 3rd anti-codon position. The record is from RNAcentral. Lineage: Varidnaviria; Bamfordvirae; Nucleocytoviricota; Megaviricetes; Algavirales; Phycodnaviridae. RNAcentral also lists the same sequence under 1 other name.
GCUCCUAUAGCUCAGUUGGUUAGAGCGCGGUGCUUAUACAAAAGUAUAUUUAGGCGGGGUCCCACCCGUAAGGGCACGCCGAGGUCAUGGGUUCGAGACCCAUUGGGAGCA